RNAcentral lists this long non-coding RNA (208 nucleotides) under Elaeis guineensis (African oil palm). Its description in RNAcentral is "long non-coding RNA (EGUI_LNC003276)". The record is from RNAcentral. Lineage: Eukaryota; Viridiplantae; Streptophyta; Magnoliopsida; Arecales; Arecaceae.
ACCACCACUGUUGUGCAGCAGUUUUCCUCUCCGUCUCUCUCUCUCUUAUCUUCAUUUAUAAAAACAACGGACAUCAAGGCUUCCUCCCCGAACUCGCACAGGCUCCCCCUCUGAGCCACUCGCUCACUCACAUCUCCAAUAGCAAUCUCUCUCUUCCAUAUCGACCUAAAACUCUCUCUCUCUCUCUCUCUCUCUCUCUCUCUCUNNN